UCCGUAGGUGAACCUGCGGAAGGAUCAUUC
Molecule: non-coding RNA, 30 nt
Filed under: Mus musculus (house mouse)
Lineage: Eukaryota; Metazoa; Chordata; Mammalia; Rodentia; Muridae
Also listed under: 8 other names
Source: RNAcentral